This is a non-coding RNA of Lupinus albus (white lupine), 130 nucleotides long. Lineage: Eukaryota; Viridiplantae; Streptophyta; Magnoliopsida; Fabales; Fabaceae. The record is from the annotation of a GenBank genome assembly.
GUUGAUCGGAAUGUUGUCUGGUCCAAGUUCACAUAUGGAUGAUAAGGACUCAAAUUAUUUGAGUUAAUUUAGGGUUUCCAUCUUUCGGAUCCUUUUAUGUGACCUCGGACCAGGCUUCAUUACGGUCAAC